AUUAGAAAAACAUAGGAAGAUUACAACAUCAACUACAAAUAUUUAAAGGGUGUGAAUGGUUACGGCGGUUGGGGCGGACACAACCGUCAAUGGAUCAAACCGCUUUUUAUUUAUCAUUCAUCAAUUAUAAUCCGUAGUGGUCCGGAAAAAAAAAUUGAAGAAAACUGCAGCGGACCAUUUGCGGACCGUUUUUUCAUACAAAUAAACUUAGUCCGCAACGGUUUAUUGUCCGCCCAAAAAAUGAGAGGGACUAAACCGCAGACAAAUUAGACCGCUUUGUCCGCUGCCUCCAUUCAUAAAGUUUUAGAAAGUUAGCGGACGAACAAUAUACAAAUGUCUUUU
Molecule: small RNA, 342 nt
Filed under: Arabidopsis thaliana (thale cress)
Lineage: Eukaryota; Viridiplantae; Streptophyta; Magnoliopsida; Brassicales; Brassicaceae
Description: ATSL045530
Source: RNAcentral